RNAcentral lists this long non-coding RNA (494 nucleotides) under Nicotiana benthamiana. Its description in RNAcentral is "long non-coding RNA (NBEN_LNC021267)". Lineage: Eukaryota; Viridiplantae; Streptophyta; Magnoliopsida; Solanales; Solanaceae. The record is from RNAcentral.
UUUUUCCACUGGUUUAGGUUUCUUUUCUGUACUAACGAUAGCAAUAAUAACUUUUAAUGCAGGGUCAAAUUCUUUAUCAUCACAAAUCAUCCUGAUGACUGACCCGUUGUAGUGAGCCGGUAAUGAGUUAUUGGUUACAUUAAUGACUUUCUCGUCCCAUAAUAGUACCCGUUUCUGUCUGAUCAGGUUCUGAAAUGCUCUCUUAAGGGUCCAAGAAUCUUUAGUGUCAUGCCUUUCUGCCCUAGAGUGAUAAGCACACCUGGUACCUAAACUGUAGGAUAGAGAUUCUGGUUCUAUCUGUUUGGAGUACAGGCUGCAACAUGCCCAUUUGGACUAAUUUUUGGAAGAGGUUGGAAUAUGACUCACCAAUGGGUAUGAAGUCAGCUUUUUAAGGUAGUUCACGGAUAUGGGUGUUAUAUUGUUAAUUAUUCAAUGGUGGACGUGGAUUAUACAGAACUUGGUGAGAAGGAUUAUUUCUUGGAGAGGGAGCUCUG